This 1202-nucleotide ribosomal RNA is filed under the name Pseudomonas sp. Its description in RNAcentral is "bacterial SSU rRNA". It matches the Rfam family "Bacterial small subunit ribosomal RNA", at positions 71 to 1259 of the family's 1533-position model. The record is from RNAcentral. Lineage: Bacteria; Pseudomonadati; Pseudomonadota; Gammaproteobacteria; Pseudomonadales; Pseudomonadaceae.
UACCCGUACUUGUACCUGGUGGCGAGCGGCGGACGGGUGAGUAAUGCCUAGGAAUCUGCCUAGUAGUGGGGGAUAACGUCCGGAAACGGGCGCUAAUACCGCAUACGUCCUACGGGAGAAAGUGGGGGAUCUUCGGACCUCACGCUAUUAGAUGAGCCUAGGUCGGAUUAGCUAGUUGGUGAGGUAAUGGCUCACCAAGGCGACGAUCCGUAACUGGUCUGAGAGGAUGAUCAGUCACACUGGAACUGAGACACGGUCCAGACUCCUACGGGAGGCAGCAGUGGGGAAUAUUGGACAAUGGGCGAAAGCCUGAUCCAGCCAUGCCGCGUGUGUGAAGAAGGUCUUCGGAUUGUAAAGCACUUUAAGUUGGGAGGAAGGGCAGUUACCUAAUACGUGAUUGUUUUGACGUUACCGACAGAAUAAGCACCGGCUAACUCUGUGCCAGCAGCCGCGGUAAUACAGAGGGUGCAAGCGUUAAUCGGAAUUACUGGGCGUAAAGCGCGCGUAGGUGGUUUGUUAAGUUGGAUGUGAAAGCCCCGGGCUCAACCUGGGAACUGCAUCCAAAACUGGCAAGCUAGAGUAUGGUAGAGGGUGGUGGAAUUUCCUGUGUAGCGGUGAAAUGCGUAGAUAUAGGAAGGAACACCAGUGGCGAAGGCGACCACCUGGACUGAUACUGACACUGAUGUGCGAAAGCGUGGGGAGCAAACAGGAGUAGAUACCCCUGGUAGUCCACGCCGUACACGAUGUCAACUAGCCGUUGGGAGCCUUGAGCUCUUAGUGGCGCAGCUAACGCAUUAUGUUGACCGCCUGGGGAGUACGGCCGCCCGGUUAAAACUCAAAUGAAUUUGACGGGGGCGCGCACACGCGGUGGAGCAUGUGGUUUUAAUUCUAAGCACCGCGAACACCUUUCCCGGCCUUGACAUCCAAUGAACUUUCCAGAUAUGGAUUGGUGCUUCUGGAGUAUUGAAACAGUGCUGAAUGGCUGUUGUCUGCUCGUGUCGUGCGAUGUUAGAAUAAGUCCCUUAACAAGCGCAACCCUUGUCCUAAUUACCCGUCGCUUUAUGUGGGCAGCUCUGACGAAAAUGACGAUGAACAAACCGGAAGGAAAGACGAGAAGAACGUCAAGUCCAUCUGGCCUCUAUCGUGCUGGCCUACAACAGUGGCUAACAAUGCAGGUCGUCAAGAGAGGGUGGCCAGUCGCA